ACAAAAACAUCUUUUCUUGUUAGUUUUUGAAGUAUGGCCUGCCCACUGACUUAUUUGUUGAAGGGCCGCGGUAUUUUGACCGUGCAAAGGUAGCAUAAUCAUUAGUUCUUUAAUUGUGAUCUGGUAUGAAUGGCUUGACGAGACAUGGGCUGUCUUAGUGGUAUUGGUUGUUGAAUUUGGUUUUUGAGUUAAAAUUCUUAGAUGUUUUUAUGGGACGAGAAGACCCUAUAGAGUUUGACAUUUAUUCUUGUUGUGUGAUUAUUGUUUGUUAUUUAUUUUUGUAGUAAGUUGAGUGUUUUGUUGGGGUGAUGGGAGGAAUUCUUUUAACUCCUCUUUAUUUUGGUAUAUUUAUUUAUAUUAUUUUGAUCCAUUUAUUUUGAUUAUAAGAUUAAAUUACCUUAGGGAUAACAGCGUUAUCUUCCUUGAGAGUUCUUAUUGGCGGGGAGGUUUGCGACCUCGAUGUUGGAUUAAGGUGAAUUUUCGGUGCAGGGG
RNAcentral lists this ribosomal RNA (492 nucleotides) under Amitermes amicki. RNAcentral's name for it is "partial 16S ribosomal RNA". It matches the Rfam family "Bacterial large subunit ribosomal RNA", at positions 1807 to 2561 of the family's 2925-position model. The record is from RNAcentral. Lineage: Eukaryota; Metazoa; Arthropoda; Insecta; Blattodea; Termitidae.